UACGAAGGGGGCUAGCGUUGUUCGGAUUUACUGGGCGUAAAGCGCACGUAGGCGGAUCGAUCAGUCAGGGGUGAAAUCCCAGGGCUCAACCCUGGAACUGCCUUUGAUACUGUCGAUCUGGAGUAUGGAAGAGGUGAGUGGAAUUCCGAGUGUAGAGGUGAAAUUCGUAGAUAUUAGGGAAGAACACCGGAUGGCGAAGGCGGCGACCUGGUCCGACACUGACGC
Molecule: ribosomal RNA, 225 nt
Filed under: uncultured bacterium
Lineage: Bacteria
Description: partial 16S ribosomal RNA
Rfam family: Bacterial small subunit ribosomal RNA
Source: RNAcentral